Molecule: ribosomal RNA, 276 nt
Filed under: uncultured bacterium
Lineage: Bacteria
Description: partial 16S rRNA
Rfam family: Bacterial small subunit ribosomal RNA
Source: RNAcentral
CCAUGCCGCGUGAAGGAUGAUGCCUACGGGUUGUAACUUCUUUUGUACGGGACGAAACUUCCGAUCGUGAUCGGAACUGACUGUACCGUUCGAAUAAGCAUCGGCUAACUCCGUGCCAGCAGCCGCGGUAAUACGGAGGAUGCAAGCGUUAUCCGGAUUCAUUGGGUUUAAAGGGUGCGUAGGCGGAAUAGUAAGUCAGUGGUGAAAGCCUGCGGCUUAACCGUAGAAUUGCCAUUGAUACUGUUAUUCUUGAGUAUAGUUGAGGUGGGCGGAAUG